RNAcentral lists this ribosomal RNA (669 nucleotides) under uncultured Pseudomonadota bacterium. RNAcentral's name for it is "bacterial SSU rRNA". It matches the Rfam family "Bacterial small subunit ribosomal RNA", at positions 53 to 711 of the family's 1533-position model. The record is from RNAcentral. Lineage: Bacteria; Pseudomonadati; Pseudomonadota.
ACAUGCAAGUCGAACGGUAACAGGAAACAGCUUGCUGUUUCGCUGACGAGUGGCGGACGGGUGAGUAAUGUCUGGGAAACUGCCUGAUGGAGGGGGAUAACUACUGGAAACGGUAGCUAAUACCGCAUAACGUCGCAAGACCAAAGAGGGGGACCCUCGGGCCUCUUGCCAUCGGAUGUGCCCAGAUGGGAUUAGCUUGUUGGUGGGGUAACGGCUCACCAAGGCGACGAUCCCUAGCUGGUCUGAGAGGAUGACCAGCCACACUGGAACUGAGACACGGUCCAGACUCCUACGGGAGGCAGCAGUGGGGAAUAUUGCACAAUGGGCGCAAGCCUGAUGCAGCCAUGCCGCGUGUAUGAAGAAGGCCUUCGGGUUGUAAAGUACUUUCAGCGGGGAGGAAGGGAGUAAAGUUAAUACCUUUGCUCAUUGACGUUACCCGCAGAAGAAGCACCGGCUAACUCCGUGCCAGCAGCCGCGGUAAUACGGAGGGUGCAAGCGUUAAUCGGAAUUACUGGGCGUAAAGCGCACGCAGGCGGUUUGUUAAGUCAGAUGUGAAAUCCCCGGGCUCAACCUGGGAACUGCAUCUGAUACUGGCAAGCUUGAGUCUCGUAGAGGGGGGUAGAAUUCCAGGUGUAGCGGUGAAAUGCGUAGAGAUCUGGAGGAAUACCG